This 238-nucleotide long non-coding RNA is filed under the name Malus domestica (apple). RNAcentral describes it as "long non-coding RNA (MDOM_LNC021256)". Lineage: Eukaryota; Viridiplantae; Streptophyta; Magnoliopsida; Rosales; Rosaceae. The record is from RNAcentral.
AAAUGGUUUAAUUAUUUAUGGCAAGGAUUAAUUAAUAUGUUAAUUAAUCAAACGAAUAAGUUCGUUGAAGACCUCGGGAUAGUUUUGGACCUUAAGGCCCAAUGGGCUUCGAACGUCAAGCCCAUUGACUUAAGUUGUAUGACAAUUUAAUGAAUAAAGAUUCACAAAGGCCCAAAAGCCCAAAUCCCUUAUGUGGCCGGCCAUGUGUGUUGAAUUAGGGUUUUUUGGUUCUUUAGGU